CUAAGCAAUACACGUGAAGAAAACGGAAGUUCCAUGGUUGUGUUCUUCUAGCAAACGCUGAGGGGUGCACAUAAAGGACAGGCAUCUUCGGGUCAAUUCACGGGUCAGAUACUCUUCAUGACUUCUUCACCAUUGCGCAGUGAUGAUGAAUGAUGACGAUGGAAACUGAAUUAGUCUCAGGAGAGGGCCUUUGAAACUGAGCCUGAGGAUAUAUUCUAAUCUGAA
This is a long non-coding RNA of Rattus rattus (black rat), 225 nucleotides long. RefSeq lists it as uncharacterized. The record is from RefSeq and is a predicted model, not a curated record. Lineage: Eukaryota; Metazoa; Chordata; Mammalia; Rodentia; Muridae. The transcript is spliced from 3 exons.